RNAcentral lists this ribosomal RNA (467 nucleotides) under uncultured bacterium. RNAcentral describes it as "partial 16S ribosomal RNA". It matches the Rfam family "Bacterial small subunit ribosomal RNA", at positions 28 to 507 of the family's 1533-position model. The record is from RNAcentral.
GAUGAACGCUGGCGGCGCGCCUAACACAUGCAAGUCGAACGAUUAAAGCACCUUCUUGUGUGUAUAACGUGGCGAGCGGCUGAGUAACACAUGGGCAACCUGCCCCUUUCAUUGGGUUAGCCACCUUCAACCGUGGAUAAUACCUAAUACUUCAAAACUUCCACCUGGAGGACUCGAGAAAACUCCGGCUGUUUGGGAUGGGCCCGCGGCCUGUUGGCUUGUUUGAGGGGUAACGGCAUACCAAGGCAAUGCGGGGUAGCCGGGUUUAGAGCUCGGACAGGCAGAAGGGGACUGAGAGAGGGCCCAGAAGCGUACGGGAGGCAGCAGUGGGGAAUCUUGCACAAUGGGCGAAAGCCUGAUGCAGCGACGCCGCGUGCGGGAUGAAGGCCUUCGGGUUGUAAACCGCUUUCAGCAGGGACGAGGCGAAAGUGACGGUACCUGCAGAAGAAGCCCCGGCUAACUACGUG